UAAUUGAAAUCCAAAGAUAAAGUUAUAUUUACAACUUCUUAUAUGAAAGCUAAUGAUACAUUUAUUUAUGUAAAAACCAUUUAGCAAAAUAUUAUAAUCAAAUAAAUAAGAGAAAUCAUGGAUCGAAGGCAAAACCAAAUCAUGAUAUUAAACAUAAUGAUUUUAAACUUGGUUUUUAUACUUAGUUUAUUAAAUGUUUUGGGCUAUGUUUUUUAAUUUUGUCACUUUUUAAAAAAAUUUAAACAAGUUUUGAGGGAAGAUUUGGGUAGUACAUUGUUUAGUAAUAAUGUUUGUCAAACAGGUUGGGAUAACUUGAUUUUCUCGGGUGAGUGAGAGUUGAGAAUGAAUUGCUGUACAUAUAAGGUAUUGAGUGCUAUGUGUAAUAACAUUGAUCAGGUUUAUCACUGGACAGGUUUAUCACAAGUGUAUCAUGUUUGUUGGUUUACAUCCAGUGUUCAUGUACUCUUGUUAAUAUUACAAGAUUUCUGGAUUCUUCCACCUCCUUUCCUACGAAAAAUGAAUUAAAGUAGAAAGUAAGAACUUCUGAGAAAUUUCCACUCCAUGUGAAUAUUUUCUGAUCUAAUUAGCUAAAAACUGUUGAUCAUCCUGAUAUAUUUCAAAAUGAGAAAAAGAAAAAUCAUUGAUCAUCUGAUUUAAAGAUUGUAUUUAUAGAAACUUCUUUUAAGCAUUGCUCACCUUAGAUAAGUUGCUUUCUUCAUGUAUAAGUAUAAGAAAUACAAAAGUUGGUUUUAACAUUACCAGCAAAUAUUAUACAUUUAGUUUAAGGAGGAGAUUUCAGACAUUCUUAUUUUUACUUUUUUGCAAUAUUUGGGUUAGCUUUAUGUCUUGUAGAUUCUAUUACUGAACAUCUACUCUGCACAGAAAUGCCUUCUCUUUUCUCUUCUGACUAUCUUUCCACUUUCUAUGUUUUACUAUUUAUUUAUUUUUCUAGUCCUUGAUUGAGUUCAGUUCAUCACAUCAUGUAGAAUUUAGAUCAUUUGUUUGUAGUAUGUUAAAUGUAGAUAAAUGGAUAUUGAACGCAAUGUUCUGAUAUGAACAAUACUCCAAUAAAAAUUCAGUAAGCUA
Mizuhopecten yessoensis (Yesso scallop) is the source of this 1086-nucleotide long non-coding RNA. RefSeq lists it as uncharacterized. Lineage: Eukaryota; Metazoa; Mollusca; Bivalvia; Pectinida; Pectinidae. The transcript is spliced from 2 exons. The record is from RefSeq and is a predicted model, not a curated record.